GACUCUCCCAGCCCCAGCAUCCAGGGUGGUGGGACAUUAUCAGUGCUCAGCAUGGAUGCCCUGACCCUGCUGAGUGAAUAUUCUGGAACCUGGGCUCUUUAGUUCUUUCUGCUGGCUUCUUUCCUAUCUGUUCAGUGAUCAGAGAUGAAUAUUUUAGGGGAAAGUUGACAUUUUUAAAAGUUGGUUUUUCCCCACCCAGCCUUAGCUUCCUGACUCAAAGCAUUCUUUUAUGUCAACACCAUUGUCUGCUUGUCAGAGGACAAAACCCACUCAAGCCCGUCUCCCACCUUGGUCAGGCAGGGAUAUUUGCUGUAGAAACUAUAUUAAUCUCCCUUUCCCCUUCUGUAAGUGUGGCCCCUGAUCAUUGUAAAAACUUUAGAAACAUUAAAAAGACCAAAGGAGGUAAAUAAAAAUUUUCCACAUUUUA
RNAcentral lists this long non-coding RNA (427 nucleotides) under Rattus norvegicus (Norway rat). RNAcentral's name for it is "long non-coding RNA NONRATT009478". Lineage: Eukaryota; Metazoa; Chordata; Mammalia; Rodentia; Muridae. The record is from RNAcentral.